This is a long non-coding RNA of Frankliniella occidentalis (western flower thrips), 1758 nucleotides long. RefSeq lists it as uncharacterized. The transcript has 3 exons. NCBI's taxonomy places the organism in Eukaryota, Metazoa, Arthropoda, Insecta, Thysanoptera, Thripidae. The record is from RefSeq and is a predicted model, not a curated record.
CCAGAAAUUGCUUCACUUGAGUUUGGGAGAAUAUACGCUACUUAUUUGCUAAAAACACCUAAAAAGCACAAGUCCCCAUAACUCAGCCACUAAUUAAUAUUAAAUUAAAAUCUUCAGAGUGAGUUUGUUUUGGACCAGAAACAAAAGAUUAAGACCAUUUUCACCGACACAAAAAAGGGAAUCUAAAGAGAUUAAGCUUCGGUGACAGUUCUAAAUGAAGGAGGGCACAGCAUGGCUUUUUUUAUGAUGAUGGGAGAUGCAAUCUGCAAGUUCGCCAUGCAGACAAGGAUGUUUUUUAGUCCAAUAGUCGCAGAGUAUUUGUUUUCAAGACAUAUGUUUGGCUUUCUGUCUAAGCAAUACACCCAAGUACUCGAUCUAAAACUUUUUAAAAGUUACUUUGACAAAGUACAUCACCAAGACAGAACAAUCAAUUUUGGACAGCCAAAUUUGUCUGAACCACCAGUAAUGAUUCUUAUGAUAAAUAAUUUUACAUGAAAUUAGUUGUCUUUUGGAGUUCAACUAAGUUUCUGUAGUUUAAACAGCUGAUGUAAAGUGCAAGACCCAAGUUCUGCCCCAAUUACUUACAGCACUUUGAAAAAGUUGCAGACCCUCAAAUGAAUAUUUCACUUGAGCUUGAGUGUACCUCAGAAGAAUGUCCAUGUUGACAAAAUGAACUCUGAAAAGAUGUUAAGCUAUAGGACUUCGACUUACUUUUACAGUGGUGGAACUAAAAGUGGGUUUAAGAUGCAGGUCUUCAUGGUCGCCACAUCUCUGGAAAACCUUUCUUCCUAAAAAACUCAAGGAAAUAAAAAACCCUUGUGGAAAAUGAAAAAUAGUCAGGGAAAUACAGGCCCCAAACUCGCCCCGCCCUGUUAGUAUAGGUCAAAGACGCAUUUUGACGGGUAUUUUGGCCCCCCAAUGACCCAAAUCUUUUGAGAAUAAUGUUUGAUGGAUACCUCUGUGAUGUUUUCUACACAACUGUGCCGUCAUGCUUUUGGAUAUUAUUUUAAAUCAGCAAGUUUUCAUGUUUCAAAAUCCUUCAUACAUUUCUUUUGUACUACUGCUCCAAUAAAAUACCUAUGUUUAAGUUUGAUUUACUCUAUUUUCUUUUAUAAUUGAUAUGUCAUUAAUAAACGAAAUAUAUCUCUUUUCUAUUUUUAGCUAGUCUUUUAUGCUCGGCUGGCAGCUUUAGUUCGUUAAUUGUGUUUAGUCUAUUUGAAGUAAAUCUCAAUUAAACCACUCAUUCAUGGCUUUUGAGUCAAUUGAAAAAACUGGAAUAAUGAAAGCUUGGCAGCAGUUGUAUGCAUUAUUGCUUUUUCAAAGGUUAAACAUUUUCUUUUGUUCUAGUGGCUUUGUUCCGUACAUUUGCUCUGCGUAUUUGAGUAUGGAAGUUUCAGAACCUCUUAGCCGUGAAAAGCAUUCUGUACGGCUUAUCUAUGAAUUCAAAAUGUGAAAUACACAAGUGGUUUAGCAGCUAAUUUAAUUACGCCUUGUGUUUUCAUACCUAUAACACAACGCUUCACUACAUCCAGUUUUAGUCAUUACCCUUUCCCGCACUAACAACGAUUUGAUGUUCAAAGAAAGUUAUUUUUGGUUGGACCCAAUGUUCAAAUGAUCUGUGCUACGAUUUUAUUACAACAUCAUCAAAAGUCCAAUCCAAAAGUGAUUAUUUUAAUUUUGACUUAUUUCUUUUAUGUGUCAAAUUGCUGUACUUCAUGCUUGUGGAGUGGAGUGAUAAUAAAAAAAAAUACAACUGUA